CCUUCCAUCUCCUGAGAUCCCAUCCAGUCUUUCAGUCAUGAGGAUCUUCGCCAUUCUUUCCGCUAUUCUCUUCAUGGUGCUGAUAGCUGCUCCAGAAUUUGCUGAUGGACAAGUAAACUCAACUAGAGAAUGCCGUCGUCGUCGUGGGUGCUGCCUUCGCGUUAGCCGUUGCCCACAAGGGAUGAGAAGACUUGGAAGGUGUGAUGGUCCACGUCAAACUUGCUGCAAAUGCAUGGGAGGUGUGAAUAUAAACGCGCCUGAGGGCGAAACAGAUUGGGAGGUGUGAUAAUCCACAUCAAGUGUGCUGCAAAUAUGGGUACUGUCAUGUUGCUGGCUACUCGUAGUGGAUUCCUGGGUUACUUCCAUGGCUUGAAGAAUCGUUGAUCCAGCUUUGUUUUGCUUUGCAACCCUUCUCCUUAUUUGCUAUGCAUUUGCGCUUUUAAUGUAGCUGAUCUUAAGCUGAAUUGUCUUUCUCUUUAAUCGAAUUAAAAAUAAAGCAUUUGAGCAUCUA
This is a long non-coding RNA of Rhineura floridana, 511 nucleotides long. RefSeq lists it as uncharacterized. The transcript has 3 exons. Lineage: Eukaryota; Metazoa; Chordata; Lepidosauria; Squamata; Rhineuridae. The record is from RefSeq and is a predicted model, not a curated record.